Molecule: long non-coding RNA, 200 nt
Filed under: Lathyrus oleraceus (garden pea)
Lineage: Eukaryota; Viridiplantae; Streptophyta; Magnoliopsida; Fabales; Fabaceae
Description: Pisum sativum (pea) long non-coding RNA (PSAT_LNC030998)
Source: RNAcentral
AAAUUUGUAACUAAAUUUCUUUUGAUUGAAAAAAAAAAGUUACAGUUCAGAGUCUAUUACAAGUCAUAUUGAGUUUGGUUUAUAUACUAUCAGAACCUACUAAAUGAAAUUCAAAUGCAAACUCUAAAUGGAAAUGAAAGGAAUUUGAAUUACAACUAACACCAUCCCUUAAUUCGUAUUCAGCUAAUUAAAAUCAACAA